This is a ribosomal RNA of Enterocytozoon bieneusi H348, 1085 nucleotides long. It matches the Rfam family "Eukaryotic large subunit ribosomal RNA", at positions 1914 to 3289 of the family's 3401-position model. Lineage: Eukaryota; Fungi; Microsporidia; Enterocytozoonidae. The record is from Rfam.
UCGGCAAAUUGAUGAAAAACUCGGGAAAUCAUGGCUCUAGCAUCUAGACUGGGCUUACAAGGGAAUUUGACUGUUAAUAAAAACAUAGCUUGUGUGUACGCAAAGUGAAUCUGCCCAGUGCUGGGACGUUAAGGAAGUAAUUUAAGUACGCACCUGUAACGGCGGGAGUAACUAUGACUCUCUUAAGGUAGCCAAAUGCCUCGUCGCCUAAUUAGCGACGCGCAUGAAUGGAGCAACGAGAUUCCCACUGUCCCUGCUCACAGAUUUGCGAACCUACAGCCAAGGGAACGGGCUUGGGACAUGCAGCGGGGAAAGAAGACCCUGUUGAGCUUGACUCUAGCCAAGCACAGGCCUCUGUGACUAUAUCGUAGCGAGGUGGGAGAAAUGUGUGAGACCACUGACAUAGUCGGCGGGGGCACUCGCAAAGCUUGGUGGGGAGUUUGGCUGGGGCGGCACGACUACUAAAACAUAACGUAGACGUCCAAAGGUAAGCUCCGAGGGGAUGGAAACCACUCCGAGAGUAUAAGGGCAAAAGCUUGCUUUAGUUAUUAAUGUAAAUUAAUAAUACUGGAAACAGGGGCCUAGAGAUCCUCUAUGAAACUAAGCAUAGAGGUGACGGAAAAGUUACCACAGGGAUAACUGGCUUGUGGCGGCCGAGCGUCCAUAGCGACGCCGCUUUUUGAUUCUUCGAUGUCGGCUCUUCCGAGCAUGGUGGAGUAUCAGCCACCAAGUGUGUGAUUGUUCACCAACUAACAGGGAACGUGAGCUGGGUUUAGACCGUCGCGAGACAGGUUAGUUUUACCCUACUGCAUCGCGUCCGAGAGUAGGUCGGGGCAGUACGAGAGGAAGUGCCGAUCAGAACCGCUGGUGAUACUUUCGUCUGUUAAGGCGCGAAGUGUAGCUACGUUCUUCUUAUAAUAGCUGAAAGCCUCUAAGCUAGAAUGAGUACUUAAGGACGCAAAGAUAUGAAGACUACAUAUGUAAGGAUGAGGGUUGUACGAUAUAAGCUUCUGCGAGUAUUUCAGACCACUUAUUUCCUUUUAGAACAUGCUGCUCGAUACUACAGAAUCNGGAAAGAAAUUUUU